AUGGGCAAGAUUAAGAUCGGAAUCAACGGUUUCGGAAGGAUCGGGAGGCUCGUCGCCAGGGUCGCCCUCCAGAGCGACGAUGUCGAGCUCGUCGCCGUCAACGACCCCUUCAUCACCACCGAGUACAUGACCUACAUGUUCAAGUACGACACCGUUCACGGCCACUGGAAGCACAGCGACAUCAAGCUCAAGGACGACAAGACUCUGCUCUUUGGCGAGAAGCCAGUUACCGUCUUUGGCGUCAGGAACCCUGAGGAGAUCCCGUGGGGUGAGGCUGGUGCCGAUUACGUUGUGGAGUCCACCGGUGUCUUCACUGACAAGGACAAGGCCGCUGCUCACUUGAAGGGUGGUGCCAAGAAGGUGGUCAUCUCUGCCCCAAGCAAAGAUGCCCCUAUGUUUGUGGUUGGUGUCAAUGAGGACAAGUACACCUCAGACGUUAACAUUGUCUCAAAUGCUAGCUGCACCACUAACUGCCUUGCUCCCCUAGCUAAGAUCAUUAAUGACAACUUCGGUAUUAUUGAGGGUUUGAUGACCACUGUUCAUGCCAUCACUGCCACACAGAAGACCGUUGAUGGUCCCUCGAGCAAGGACUGGAGAGGUGGCAGGGCCGCAAGCUUUAACAUCAUUCCCAGCAGCACUGGUGCUGCCAAGGCUGUUGGUAAGGUUCUUCCUGAGCUGAAUGGCAAGCUUACGGGUAUGUCUUUCCGGGUUCCCACUGUGGAUGUGUCAGUUGUUGAUCUCACUGUUAGAACCGAGAAGGCUGCAUCAUAUGAUGACAUCAAGAAGGCUAUCAAGGCUGCAUCCGAGGGAAAACUCAAGGGGAUCAUGGGUUACGUCGAGGAGGAUUUGGUCUCCACUGAUUUUGUCGGUGACAGCAGGUCGAGCAUCUUUGAUGCCAAGGCUGGAAUUGCUCUGAACGACCACUUCGUCAAGCUUGUCUCGUGGUAUGACAACGAGUGGGGUUACAGCAACCGCGUUGUCGACCUGAUCCGCCACAUGGCCAAGACUCAGUAG
This 1014-nucleotide ribosomal RNA is filed under the name Triticum aestivum (bread wheat). RNAcentral's name for it is "partial small subunit ribosomal RNA". Lineage: Eukaryota; Viridiplantae; Streptophyta; Magnoliopsida; Poales; Poaceae. The record is from RNAcentral.